UACGUAGGGUGCGAGCGUUGUCCGGAAUUAUUGGGCGUAAAGAGCUCGUAGGCGGUCUGUCGCGUCGAUCGUGAAAACUUGGGGCUUAACUCUGAGCUUGCGGUCGAUACGGGCAUGACUGGAGUUCGGCAGGGGAGACUGGAAUUCCUGGUGUAGCGGUGAAAUGCGCAGAUAUCAGGAGGAACACCGGUGGCGAAGGCGGGUCUCUGGGCCGAUACUGACGCUGAGGUGCGAAAGCGUGGGGAGCAAACAGG
This 254-nucleotide ribosomal RNA is filed under the name uncultured bacterium. Its description in RNAcentral is "partial 16S ribosomal RNA". It matches the Rfam family "Bacterial small subunit ribosomal RNA", at positions 524 to 776 of the family's 1533-position model. The record is from RNAcentral.